GACGAACGCUGGCGGCGUGCUUAACACAUGCAAGUCGAACGGAAAGACCCUGCUUUUUUGGGGUUCUCGAGGGGCGAGCGGGUGAGUAACACGUGAGUAACCCGCCCUUGAGUUUGGGAUAACUUCAGGAGAGUGGGGAUAAUACCGGAUACGAGCUCCUGCUGCUUGGUGGGGGUUGGAACGUUUCGGCGGUGUGGGAUGGACUCGCGGCUUAUCAGCUUGUUGGUGGGGUAGUGGCUUACCAAGGGUUUGACGGCUAGCCGGCCUGAGAGGGCAACCGGCGACAUUGGGACUGAGGUAGGGCCCAGACUCGAAUGGGGGGCAGCAGUGGGAAGUAUUGUCCAGUGGGGGGACGUGUGUGACGGAAACGCCCCGUGCGGAAUGCAGUCCUUGGGGUUGUAAACGGCUUUAGCUUGUGACGAAGCGUUAGUGACGGUACCGGCAGAAGAAGCACCGGCUAACUACGUG
RNAcentral lists this ribosomal RNA (468 nucleotides) under uncultured bacterium. RNAcentral's name for it is "partial 16S ribosomal RNA". It matches the Rfam family "Bacterial small subunit ribosomal RNA", at positions 28 to 507 of the family's 1533-position model. The record is from RNAcentral.